AUAGAGUAAAUUGCACAUCCAAUUAUCUAAGGCUGCGUUUGGUUCGGGUAUAAGUAAGAACUGCUAGUUCUAGGGAUAGGUACAAGUUCAGGUAUAAACAGAAAUUAUACCAAUUUUGCGUUUGGAUGAAAAUUGGGUUGUUCAUAAGAAUAAGGUAAAUAGUGUUUGGAUGAUUAGAUUGGAACAAAAGGAAUAAGCAUUAUAAUUUGAAAUUAAAAUUAUAUUAUGUAAUUAAUUAACAUAAAAAUAUUACUUAAAAAUAAAUAAAAUUUAAUUACUAAUAAUUAAUUAUAAAUAAUAAUUAUUAAUAAUAAUUAAUUAUAAAUAAUAAAUUAUUAAUAACGAUUAUCUAAUUAAUUAUUAUUAUUAUUAUUAUUAAUUAUUAAUAAAUAAUAAUUAUUAUUAAUUAUUCUUAUUAAUUAAUUAUAAAUAAUAAAUUAAUUAAUUAUUUAAUUAUUAAAAUAAUAAAUAAUAAUUUAAAUAUAUUAAUUAGAUUAAUUAAUAAUUUACUGCCAUUAAAAUUAAAUUUAGAUUUUAAUUAAUCUUGUUCUCAUCAAGGAACAAGCUUGUUCCAGGAAACGGGUGGAACAGUAGUUCCAGCCUUAUACGAGCUAGUUCCAGAUUUCCGAAAAUUACUGUUUCCGGGAGCCAAACAUAACGUUUGGGAACAAAGGGGGGAACAAGGGCUUAUUCCCCCCUUUGUUCCCCAACCAAACGCUACCUAAGAGAUUAAAACUUUUGAACUUUAAUAUUAAAAAAAAGGAUUAACAAGACUACUUAGUAAAUAUGAGCUUUUGAAAGAUUAAAAUAUAUAAUUUAUAUUUCAUAAUAGAGUAAAAAAAAUAACAGUACUUAUGUCAAAAGUUGAUGAGAAAUAAAAUUAUUCGAAUAGGACAAGUGUUAGGUUAUAUUUGGUUGACAUGUCACUUCAUUUCUUUCUCAUCUUAUCUUAAAAAAAGAAAAGUAGAUAAAUUUUGUUAGGAAAAUAAAGAGGCAUCUCAAAGCUAAAGAACAACAAAAAGGUUGGAAAAAAGUAAACUAAUUUAUCUACCAUGUUUCAUCUUAAACCAUUUAAUUGACCCCAUCCGUGCACACUCGUAACGUUUGAUAUUCUAUCAUGUGAUAACUUGCCACAUUUAUAUAUUCCAUUAUAUUUAUUCCUCCACUAGGAGAGUUUUGAUUUGACGUAAUUAUAAAUAUAAUAUAAUUAGAGGUGAAUAUAAUUGAAUAUAUAAUAAUUUAUAUGUAUUUUGUUUGAUACGAAAAUUUACAAAAUUUAAUUAUUAUGAUAUAUAUAUAUAUAUAUAUAUAUAUAGUUGGACUGGGCUACUAUUAGUAGCAAAAUCCCAUUGUUGCUACCAGUUUUUUAGCCUUUGGAUCNAUAUAUAUAUAUAUAUAUAUAUAGUUGGACUGGGCUACUAUUAGUAGCAAAAUCCCAUUGUUGCUACCAGUUUUUUAGCCUUUGGAUCAACUCUUUUCAUUAUUUCUAACCAUUGGAUUAAAUACUAUAACCCAGUGGGGACCACUCAAUCCUAGGGGGACCACUCAACUCUAACUGACUAAUAUCAUCCUGACCCUACAAUUUUUCAUCCAAGAGUUAAAAACUUGAUAGCAAAAAAAAGCGUUUUACUAUUAAUAGUAUUCCAGCCUAAUUAUAUAUAUAUAUAUAGUUCGGCUGCUAUACUAUCGGUAGCACGAAGGACUCGGUACUACCAAGUUGUUUUCAAGCUCUAAUCAUGAUGUCGAAAAAAAUCUAAAAUUUAGUUUUCAAAUGACGGAGCCAAUCAUCGAUUUGGAAGCCGUAUCAUCGAAAACAACUUGGUAGCACAGAGGCCUCCGUGCUACCAAGUUGUUUUCGAUGAUGCGGCUUCCAAAUCAACGAUCGGCUCCGUUAUACUUGAUCUAUACUAUUAAAAGUAUUUAGAAACUAAAUUUUAUAAUUUUUCGAUAUCAUUUACCCAUCAAACAAAUAGUCUAAAAUUGAACGGUUGAAAAUAAAAAUCUCAUAAAAAAUGAUAAUAAAAGACUUAAAUUCAAGAUUAGAUAUACUAAUCUUACUCUAAAUAGUGAAAAGAAUUUUCUAUAAAAUUUUCAUCCGAUUUGAAUUGUUUUAUACCGUUAAACUCACAAACACACCACAUCGACCAUUAAAAUUGUCAAUUUUGAGAUCUUUUGAUCACUAGUCAAAUGAUGUUGAAAAAAUUUGAAAUUUAGUUUUCAAAUACUUUCAAUAGUGUAGAUCAAGUCUAACGGAGCCGAUCGUCGAUUUGGAAGCCGCAUCAUCGAAAACAAUUUGAUAGCACGGAGGCCUCCGUGCUACCGAUAGUAUAGCAGCUGGACUCUCUCUCUCUCUAUAUAUAUAUAUGGAAUUGAGCUCCUAUAUUUUUAAAAGUACGAAGUCAUUGGUGCUUGUAAGUUUUUGGCCCUUGGAUUAAGGAAUGUGUGGUUAGUAUGAUGUGGGCCCCCUAGGGUUGAGUGGGUGGUUGGUUGAAUAAUAUAAUCUAACGGGUAAAAAUGAUCAAAGGAAUAGAUCUAACGGUAAAAAAUUUACAAACACAAAGUGCUUAGUGCUUUUACAGGCACCAUAGCUGGACUCUAGAUAUAUGAUGAUAAGAUUACUUUUAUAUAGGGAAGAAAAAAAAACUAUUUAAAAAGUUAUUAAGAAGAUAAGUUUACUUUUACUUAAGAUUUUUUUCUCUAAGUGCUGCAGUUGGAACUGCAGUAAUUUUGGGUGUAGUUCCAACUAUUGCAAUUGAGCCUUCUCAUACAGUUAAAUUUAAAUGUAUCAAAAUAUAUGCUAAAUUUGAAUUAACAUACGGUUACUAUUGU
Molecule: long non-coding RNA, 2829 nt
Filed under: Ananas comosus (pineapple)
Lineage: Eukaryota; Viridiplantae; Streptophyta; Magnoliopsida; Poales; Bromeliaceae
Description: long non-coding RNA (ACOM_LNC000129)
Source: RNAcentral